Molecule: ribosomal RNA, 415 nt
Filed under: uncultured bacterium
Lineage: Bacteria
Description: bacterial SSU rRNA
Rfam family: Bacterial small subunit ribosomal RNA
Source: RNAcentral
UGGGGAAUCUUGCGCAAUGGGCGAAAGCCUGACGCAGCCAUGCCGCGUGUAUGAUGAAGGUCUUAGGAUUGUAAAAUACUUUCACCGGUGAAGCUGUAGCCGGAGAAGAAGCCCCGGCUAACUUCGUGCCAGCAGCCGCGGUAAUACGAAGGGGGCUAGCGUUGCUCGGAAUUACUGGGCGUAAAGGGAGCGUAGGCGGACAUUUAAGUCAGAGGUGAAAUCCCGGAGCUUAACUUCGGAACUGCCUUUGAUACUGGGUGUCUUGAGUGUGAGAGAGGUAUGUGGAACUCCGAGUGUAGAGGUGAAAUUCGUAGAUAUUCGGAAGAACACCAGUGGCGAAGGCGACAUACUGGCUCAUUACUGACGCUGAGGCUCGAAAGCGUGGGGAGCAAACAGGAUUAGAUACCCUUGUAGU